UACGUAGGGCGCAAGCGUUGUCCGGAAUUAUUGGGCGUAAAGAGCUCGUAGGCGGUUUGUCGCGUCUGCUGUGAAAACCCGAGGCUCAACCUCGGGCCUGCAGUGGGUACGGGCAGACUAGAGUGUGGUAGGGGGAGACUGGAAUUCCUGGUGUAGCGGUGGAAUGCGCAGAUAUCAGGAGGAACACCAAUGGCGAAGGCAGGUCUCCUGG
Molecule: ribosomal RNA, 211 nt
Filed under: uncultured bacterium
Lineage: Bacteria
Description: partial 16S ribosomal RNA
Rfam family: Bacterial small subunit ribosomal RNA
Source: RNAcentral